AGAAUCAACGCUGGCGGCGUGCCUAACACAUGCAAGUCGAACGCGAAAGUCCCGCAAGGGGCAAGUAGAGUGGCAAACGGGUGAGUAACGCGUGGGUGACCUACCUUAGAGUGGGGGAUAACCUUCCGAAAGGAGGGCUAAUACCGCAUGACAUCCUAUGUUUAGAGACAUGGUGAUCAAAGCCGGGGAUCGCAAGACCUGGCGCUUGAAGAGGGGCCCGCGUCCGAUUAGCUAGUUGGUGGGGUAACGGCUCACCAAGGCUCCGAUCGGU
Molecule: ribosomal RNA, 271 nt
Filed under: uncultured bacterium
Lineage: Bacteria
Description: partial small subunit ribosomal RNA
Rfam family: Bacterial small subunit ribosomal RNA
Source: RNAcentral